GGGUGGUAAUACCGGAUGCUCCGCUCCAUCGCAUGGUGGGGUGGGAAAUGCUUUUGCGGCAUGGGAUGGGGUCGCGUCCUAUCAGCUUGUUGGCGGGGUGAUGGCCCACCAAGGCGUUGACGGGUAGCCGGCCUGAGAGGGUGACCGGCCACAUUGGGACUGAGAUACGGCCCAGACUCCUACGGGAGGCAGCAGUGGGGAAUAUUGCACAAUGGGCGCAAGCCUGAUGCAGCGACGCCGCGUGCGGGAUGGAGGCCUUCGGGUUGUAAACCGCUUUUGUUCAAGGGCAAGGCACGGUUUCGGCCGUGUUGAGUGGAUUGUUCGAAUAAGCACCGGCUAACUACGUGCCAGCAGCCGCGGUAAUACGUAGGGUGCGAGCGUUAUCCGGAUUUAUUGGGCGUAAAGGGCUCGUAGGCGGUUCGUCGCGUCCGGUGUGAAAGUCCAUCGCCUAACGGUGGAUCUGCGCCGGGUACGGGCGGGCUGGAGUGCGGUAGGGGAGACUGGAAUUCCCGGUGUAACGGUGGAAUGUGUAGAUAUCGGAA
RNAcentral lists this ribosomal RNA (542 nucleotides) under Bifidobacterium animalis subsp. lactis. RNAcentral's name for it is "bacterial SSU rRNA". It matches the Rfam family "Bacterial small subunit ribosomal RNA", at positions 158 to 702 of the family's 1533-position model. The record is from RNAcentral. Lineage: Bacteria; Bacillati; Actinomycetota; Actinomycetes; Bifidobacteriales; Bifidobacteriaceae.